GUGUAGCGGUUAGCACGUCUGCUUUACAUGCAGAAGGUCCUGGGUUCACACCCAG
Molecule: transfer RNA, 55 nt
Filed under: Pteropus alecto (black flying fox)
Lineage: Eukaryota; Metazoa; Chordata; Mammalia; Chiroptera; Pteropodidae
Rfam family: tRNA
About the family: Transfer RNA (tRNA) molecules are approximately 80 nucleotides in length.
Source: Rfam by way of RNAcentral